GGCGUGCUUAACACAUGCAAGUCGAACGAAGCACUGGAGUGGAAUCCCUUCGGGGAGGAAGCGCCUUUGACUGAGUGGCGGACGGGUGAGUAACGCGUGGGUAACCUGCCCCAUACAGGGGGAUAACAGCCGGAAACGGCUGCUAAUACCGCAUGUACAUGCGGGGGCGCAUGCCCCUGGAUGGAAAGCAUUAGCGGUAUGGGAUGGGCCCGCGUCUGAUUAGGCAGUUGGCGGGGUAACGGCCCACCAAACCGACGAUCAGUAGCCGGCCUGAGAGGGCGACCGGCCACAUUGGGACUGAGACACGGCCCAAACUCCUACGGGAGGCAGCAGUGGGGAAUAUUGCACAAUGGGGGGAACCCUGAUGCAGCGACGCCGCGUGGGUGAAGAAGUAUUUCGGUAUGUAAAGCCCUAUCAGCAGGGAAGAAAAAUGACGGUACCUGACUAAGAAGCACCGGCUAAAUACGUGCCAGCAGCCGCGGUAAUACGUAUGGUGCAAGCGUUAUCCGGAUUUACUGGGUGUAAAGGGAGCGCAGGCGGCACGCUAAGCCUGAUGUGAAAACCCGCGGCCCAACCGCGGGAGUGCAUUGGGAACUGGCGGGCUGGAGUACCGGAGGGGCAGGCGGAAUUCCUAGUGUAGCGGUGAAAUGCGUAGAUAUUAGGAGGAACACCAGUGGCGAAGGCGGCCUGCUGGACGGAGACUGACGCUGAGGCUCGAAAGCGUGGGGAGCAAACAGGAUUAGAUACCCUGGUAGUCCACGCCGUAAAC
This 769-nucleotide ribosomal RNA is filed under the name uncultured bacterium. Its description in RNAcentral is "bacterial SSU rRNA". It matches the Rfam family "Bacterial small subunit ribosomal RNA", at positions 41 to 807 of the family's 1533-position model. The record is from RNAcentral.